CGUAGGGCGCAAGCGUUGUCCGGAAUUAUUGGGCGUAAAGAGCUCGUAGGCGGUCUGUUACGUCGGAAGUGAAAACCCGGGGCUUAACCCCGGGCUUGCUUUCGAUACGGGCAGACUAGAGUGUGGUAGGGGAGACUGGAAUUCCUGGUGUAGCGGUGAAAUGCGCAGAUAUCAGGAGGAACACCGGUGGCGAAGGCGGGUCUCUGGGCCACUACUGACGCUGAGGAGCGAAAGCGUGGGGAGCAAACAGGAUUAGAUACCCUGGUAGUCCACGCCGUAAACGUUGGGCGCUAGGUGUGGGGGUCCUUCCACGACCUCCGUGCCGCAGCUAACGCAUUAAGCGCCCCGCCUGGGGAGUACGGCCGCAAGGCUA
This 373-nucleotide ribosomal RNA is filed under the name uncultured organism. RNAcentral describes it as "bacterial SSU rRNA". It matches the Rfam family "Bacterial small subunit ribosomal RNA", at positions 526 to 896 of the family's 1533-position model. The record is from RNAcentral.